This 375-nucleotide ribosomal RNA is filed under the name uncultured bacterium. Its description in RNAcentral is "bacterial SSU rRNA". It matches the Rfam family "Bacterial small subunit ribosomal RNA", at positions 524 to 898 of the family's 1533-position model. The record is from RNAcentral.
UACGAAUGUGGCAAGCGUUGUUCGGAAUCACUGGGCGUAAAGAAUGCGUAGGCGGCUUGACAAGUCAGGAGUGAAAGCCCGGGGCUCAACCUCGGAACUGCUUCUGAAACUGUCUUGCUAGAGUCCCGGAGGGGUUGGCGGAAUUCCGAGUGUAGAGGUGAAAUUCGCAGAUAUUCGGAGGAACACCAGUGGCGUAGGCGGCCAACUGGACGGGAACUGACGCUGAGGCAUGAAAGUGUGGGGAGCAAACAGGAUUAGAUACCCUGGUAGUCCACACCGUAAACGAUGUGUGCUAGUUGUUGGGCAGCUUGGCUGUUCAGUGACGGAGCUAACGUUUUAAGCACACCGCCUGGGAAGUACGGCCGCAAGGUUAAA